GACGAACGCUGGCGGCGUGCUUAACACAUGCAAGUCGAACGGAAAGGCCCUGCUUUUGUGGGGUGCUCGAGUGGCGAACGGGUGAGUAACACGUGAGUAACCUGCCCUUGACUUUGGGAUAACUUCAGGAAACUGGGGCUAAUACCGGAUAGGAGCUCCUGCUGCAUGGUGGGGGUUGGAAAGUUUCGGCGGUUGGGGAUGGACUCGCGGCUUAUCAGCUUGUUGGUGGGGUAGUGGCUUACCAAGGCUUUGACGGGUAGCCGGCCUGUGAGGGUGACCGGCCACAUUGGGACUGAGAUACGGCCCAGACUCCUACGGGAGGCAGCAGUGGGGAAUAUUGCACAAUGGGCGGAAGCCUGAUGCAGCAACGCCGCGGGCGGGAUGACGGCCUUCGGGUUGUAAACCGCUUUCGCCUGUGACGAAGCGUGAGUGACGGUAAUGGGUAAAGAAGCACCGGCUAACUACGUG
Molecule: ribosomal RNA, 468 nt
Filed under: uncultured bacterium
Lineage: Bacteria
Description: partial 16S ribosomal RNA
Rfam family: Bacterial small subunit ribosomal RNA
Source: RNAcentral